This is a non-coding RNA of Kalmusia sp. IMI 367209, 100 nucleotides long. The record is from the annotation of a GenBank genome assembly. Lineage: Eukaryota; Fungi; Ascomycota; Dothideomycetes; Pleosporales; Didymosphaeriaceae.
UCCGAUAUGGUCUAGUGGCUAGGAUUUGCCGCUCUCAUUCAGAGUAGAACAUCUUCAUUGGUGCGCCGGCACGGCCCGGGUUCGAUUCCCGGUGUCGGAA